CGCGUAGGCGGCUUGGUAAGUCCGUUGUGAAAUCCCUCGGCUCAACCGAGGAACUGCGACGGGUACUGCUUGGCUUGAGUCCCGGAGAGGGUAGCGGAAUUCCCAGUGUAGCGGUGAAAUGCGUAGAUAUUGGGAGGAACAUCGGUGGCGAAGGCGGCUACCUGGACGGGUACUGACGCUGAUGCGCGAAAGCUAGGGGAAGCAAACA
Molecule: ribosomal RNA, 208 nt
Filed under: uncultured bacterium
Lineage: Bacteria
Description: partial 16S ribosomal RNA
Rfam family: Bacterial small subunit ribosomal RNA
Source: RNAcentral